Molecule: ribosomal RNA, 254 nt
Filed under: uncultured bacterium
Lineage: Bacteria
Description: partial 16S ribosomal RNA
Rfam family: Bacterial small subunit ribosomal RNA
Source: RNAcentral
UACGUAGGGGGCAAGCGUUGUCCGGAAUCAUUGGGCGUAAAGAGCGCGUAGGCGGCCCUGUAAGUCCGCUGUGAAAGUCAAGGGCUCAACCCUUGAAUGCCGGUGGAUACUGCAGGGCUAGAGUCCGGAAGAGGCGAGUGGAAUUCCUGGUGUAGCGGUGAAAUGCGCAGAUAUCAGGAGGAACACCGGUGGCGAAGGCGGCCACCCUGGACGGUAACUGACGCUGAGACACGAAAGCGUGGGGAGCAAACAGG